GUCAAAAAUUACGAUUAGAAUAAUGAAAUAACAUUCAAAAAAUCAAAUUUUUGGGGUGAAAUAUCACUCCCAAACAAGGCUGAGUAAUAACUACAGGAUUUUUGACAAAACUUGGUCAAGAAAUUAGGUUGGUUAAAUAAAAGAUUCCAUGUUCAAUGCUGACAAAUUCCAACUGGUGCAUCGUUCAAUAACACAUGGCUAAUAUGUUACAAAAGUUGUGCCAUUCUGUUUCCACUUUGCUCUUCCAGCUUUAUGCUCAAAAUGUUAGGUGCUCCAUUAUCACCUACUUUACAAGCUGCCAACCAACAAGUAGCACAUCAUAACAUGA
Molecule: long non-coding RNA, 328 nt
Filed under: Olea europaea subsp. europaea
Lineage: Eukaryota; Viridiplantae; Streptophyta; Magnoliopsida; Lamiales; Oleaceae
Source: RNAcentral